Non-coding RNA from Pseudonaja textilis, 253 nucleotides. NCBI's taxonomy places the organism in Eukaryota, Metazoa, Chordata, Lepidosauria, Squamata, Elapidae. The record is from RefSeq and is a predicted model, not a curated record.
UAACAAAACAGUUCUAAAUAUAAAUGGUGGUAGAUUUUAGGAGAAACCCACCCAUACUACCACCUCUUACAAUACUAGACAACAUAGUAUCAACAGUAGAAACCUUCAGAUUUCUAGGUUCUACCAUAUCAGAAGACCUAAAAUAGACACCUAACAUCAAAAACGUCAUCAAAGAAAGCACAACAAAGAACGUUCUUUCUGCACCAACUCAGAAAGCUCAAACUGCCCAAGGAGCUGCUGAUACAGUUCUACA